GACGAACGCUGGCGGCGUGCUUAACACAUGCAAGUCGAACGGAAAGGCCCUGCUUGCGGGGUACUCGAGUGGCGAACGGGUGAGUAACACGUGGGUGAUCUGCCCUGCACUUCGGGAUAAGCUUGGGAAACUGGGUCUAAUACCGGAUAGGAGCCAUCUUUAGUGUGGUGGUUGGAAAGUUUUUUCGGUGUAGGGUGAGCUCGCGGCCUAUCAGCUUGUUGGUGGGGUAAUGGCCUACCAAGGCGGCGACGGGUAGCCGGCCUGAGAGGGUGUACGGCCACAUUGGGACUGAGAUACGGCCCAGACUCCUACGGGAGGCAGCAGUGGGGAAUAUUGCACAAUGGGCGCAAGCCUGAUGCAGCGACGCCGCGUGGGGGAUGAAGGCCUUCGGGUUGUAAACUCCUUUCGCUAGGGACGAAGCUUUUUUGUGACGGUACCUAGAUAAGAAGCACCGGCUAACUACGUG
Molecule: ribosomal RNA, 466 nt
Filed under: uncultured bacterium
Lineage: Bacteria
Description: partial 16S ribosomal RNA
Rfam family: Bacterial small subunit ribosomal RNA
Source: RNAcentral